RNAcentral lists this ribosomal RNA (492 nucleotides) under uncultured bacterium. RNAcentral's name for it is "partial 16S ribosomal RNA". It matches the Rfam family "Bacterial small subunit ribosomal RNA", at positions 29 to 507 of the family's 1533-position model. The record is from RNAcentral.
AGUGAACGCUGGCGGUAGGCCUAACACAUGCAAGUCGAACGGCAGCACAGUAAGAGCUUGCUCUUACGGGUGGCGAGUGGCGGACGGGUGAGGAAUACAUCGGAAUCUACUUUUUCGUGGGGGAUAACGUAGGGAAACUUACGCUAAUACCGCAUACGACCUACGGGUGAAAGCAGGGGAUCUUCGGACCUUGCGCGAUUGAAUGAGCCGAUGUCGGAUUAGCUAGUUGGCGGGGUAAAGGCCCACCAAGGCGACGAUCCGUAGCUGGUCUGAGAGGAUGAUCAGCCACACUGGGACGGAGACACGGUCCAGACUCCUACGGGAGGCAGCAGUGGGGAAUAUUGGACAAUGGUCGCAAGCCUGAUCCAGCCAUACCGCGUGAGUGAUGAAGGCCUUCGGGUUGUAAAGCCCUUUUGUUGGGAAAGAAAAGCAGCAGGUUAAUACCCCGCUGUUCUGACGGUACCCAAAGAAUAAGCACCGGCUAACUUCGUG